This 542-nucleotide ribosomal RNA is filed under the name Pseudomonas aeruginosa. RNAcentral's name for it is "bacterial SSU rRNA". It matches the Rfam family "Bacterial small subunit ribosomal RNA", at positions 25 to 562 of the family's 1533-position model. Lineage: Bacteria; Pseudomonadati; Pseudomonadota; Gammaproteobacteria; Pseudomonadales; Pseudomonadaceae. The record is from RNAcentral.
CAGAUUGAACGCUGGCGGCAGGCCUAACACAUGCAAGUCGAGCGGAUGAAGGGAGCUUGCUCCUGGAUUCAGCGGCGGACGGGUGAGUAAUGCCUAGGAAUCUGCCUGGUAGUGGGGGAUAACGUCCGGAAACGGGCGCUAAUACCGCAUACGUCCUGAGGGAGAAAGUGGGGGAUCUUCGGACCUCACGCUAUCAGAUGAGCCUAGGUCGGAUUAGCUAGUUGGUGGGGUAAAGGCCUACCAAGGCGACGAUCCGUAACUGGUCUGAGAGGAUGAUCAGUCACACUGGAACUGAGACACGGUCCAGACUCCUACGGGAGGCAGCAGUGGGGAAUAUUGGACAAUGGGCGAAAGCCUGAUCCAGCCAUGCCGCGUGUGUGAAGAAGGUCUUCGGAUUGUAAAGCACUUUAAGUUGGGAGGAAGGGCAGUAAGUUAAUACCUUGCUGUUUUGACGUUACCAACAGAAUAAGCACCGGCUAACUUCGUGCCAGCAGCCGCGGUAAUACGAAGGGUGCAAGCGUUAAUCGGAAUUACUGGGCGUA